GCUUACGCCAUACCAACCUGGCUAUGCCCGAUCUCGUCUGAUCUCGGAAGCUAAGCAGGUUUGGGCCUGGUUAGUACUUGGAUGGGAGACCGCCUGGGAAUACCAGGUGCUGUAAGCU
Molecule: ribosomal RNA, 118 nt
Filed under: Carassius auratus (goldfish)
Lineage: Eukaryota; Metazoa; Chordata; Actinopteri; Cypriniformes; Cyprinidae
Source: RNAcentral